UGGGGAAUAUUGCACAAUGCGCGCAAGCCUGAUGCAGCCAUGCCGCGUGUAUGAAGAAGGCCUUCGGGUUGUAAAGUACUUUAAGCGGGGAGGAAGGCGAUAAGGUUAAUAACCUUGUCGAUUGACGUUACCCGCAGAAGAAGCACCGGCUAACUCCGUGCAAGCAGCCGCGGUACUACGGAGGGUGCAAGCGUUAAUCGGAAUUACUGGGCGUAAAGCGCACGCAGGCGGUCUGUCAAGUCGGAUGUGAAAUCCCCGGGCUCAACCUGGGAACUGCAUUCGAAACUGGCAGGCUAGAGUCUUGUAGAGGGGGGUAGAAUUCCAGGUGUAGCGGUGAAAUGCGUAGAGAUCUGGAGGAAUACCGGUGGCGAAGGCGGCCCCCUGGACAAAGACUGACGCUCAGGUGCGAAAGCGUGGGGAGCAAACA
This 427-nucleotide ribosomal RNA is filed under the name uncultured bacterium. Its description in RNAcentral is "partial 16S ribosomal RNA". It matches the Rfam family "Bacterial small subunit ribosomal RNA", at positions 355 to 774 of the family's 1533-position model. The record is from RNAcentral.